Molecule: long non-coding RNA, 2086 nt
Organism: Homo sapiens (human)
Lineage: Eukaryota; Metazoa; Chordata; Mammalia; Primates; Hominidae
Source: Ensembl
GAGGCCUCUGAGCUCCCAGCGCUGGGGAGCGCUGUGCAGAAUAGGACUGGAGCUUCCAAUUGUGGACAAGAUAAGGACCAUUGCCCAGGCUGUCUAUGGAGCCAAAGAUAUCGAACUCUGUCCUGAGGCACAAGUCAAAAUAGAUCGUUACACUCAGCAGGGUUUUGGAAAUUUGCCCAUCUGCAUGGCAAAGACCGAUCUUUCUCUGUCUCACCAACCUGACAAAAAAGGUGUGCCAAGGGACUUCAUCUUACCUAUCAGUGAUGUCCGGGCCAGCAUAGGUGCUGGGUUCAUUUACCCUUUGGUCGGAACGGGAAGCAGAGAAUCUCCCCUCUGGCUCUAGUUGGAGAAUCCCAACCCAAGCAAGUCCAUCUUUGAACAAUAAACAUCUCCAGUACUGCUGGCUUUGGAAGACCCCAUGGUGCACCACUGACAUCAUGGCUCGGCUGGACUCUGGAAAGCAGGAAAUUGCUGGAGCAUGUUUGGGCAUCAAUGAUGUCAUCCGCUACGAAUGCCGGGUGGGGUUACUGGACUGAGGGCCAUGAAAAAAGAAAGCUGCGGCCCUGCCCCGUGGACUCACUGCCAUUCUGUUCUUUCUCACGUUUCAGUUCAGCUCACUUUGUUUUCCGUCCCCCUCCCUCUACUGUAAAAGUAUGUACUCAGUGUUUCAUUUCCUGCUGGAUCUGAUUCAGGUCAGUGAUGAAGUUCUUUGCGAGCUCAGUGGGGAGGCGUUUCCUCCCUUUCAUACCGGCCCUGCUUAGGGAUGCAUGGUUGGUUAUAUACUUGCUUCACUCGGUUAGGCAUGGAGGAGAAUUCAUUCAGACCUCAUAGGUUUAAAUCAAAUGCAUGACCCUUCACAUUUUCCAGAGAUUUAGACAGUUACAGUGAGACAAUUAAACAUUCACCCCCCAAGCUGCACUUGGAGAUGUGUAAGCAGUAAUGUAGUCAUGCGCUCCCCAUGAUAUGAGAGUGUGCAGAAUGCCACUCCCCACAGCAGGUCCACCAGGACCUCCUCAGGGAGCAUCUUGCCUACAAAAUCACCCAUCCCUUUUCCCCCACUUUCUUCACUUUCCCUACGUUUCCACUCCCACACCCACAAAUAAACAAAGAAACUUUGAGCUUAUUUUACAAAAGUCUUUGAAAUGGCCCUCCUCUCUCCGAUGCUCCUGGGCCCUGGUUUGGCCCCAUCUGUGCAGUCUCUCUGAUGAGUGUGAAAUAAGCCAGGUUUGGCUCAUGCUCUCCCUGUGAGCUUGCUCUCCCCGUGAGCCUGCCCUCUCCAUCUGGCCUCACUUUGUUUGUGUCCCUGGGUCCUUUGUCUCUGAUCCUGGGAUCCUGGUGGUUUCCUCCUCCCCGCCCAGCUUGGGUCCUUUUCCCCAGGGUUCUUCCCUAUCUCUACAUCAGAAUUUCCUGCUUUCUCCCAAAUAUGCAUUUCCCUGGCCCAGGCAUCCAUUGCUUCCUCUCAUCGUGAGGUCCCUGCAGCAGACUGCCAAUGGUGUUGUGGCCAUGCCUUCCUCCACAACCCAGGGAAAGCUACAUGUGUGUCUGUCCCAUAGGGAAGGAGUCAUCCCUGUCUCUUCAGUGUGGCAUGUUCAGGAGGAAGGAAAGUAACCAGCGUCAUUCUCAAUUUACGGAAACUGUUUAUCAUAUUGACAAGAAGAAGAAAGCUUUGCGACUCAUGAGAAUGAUGUUUUCUUCUCUGGUACAUAAGGUUAUGUAGGUCCAAUCCAUUGUGUAGAAGAUCUUUUCUCCCUUAAUGGGAUGUACACUUAUUUUUAGCACAAGUAUAAAACUACUUUAAAUGAAGUCAGCCUCAGCCAGGGAAAUAUGCUGAGUAAUAAUGUUGCCAGGUACUAUACCACUGAGUUGAGUUUGCAAUUCACUGCUAUUAAUCCCUGCAUGUUAGUUCUGAAUUUUUACUCUUUGCAUACGUAGAAAAAAUGGUGUUUCUCUUCAGAGUCAAGGAGGGAAAAAAGAAAAGUUAAAAGACACUUAUAACACUUUUGUGUCCACCCCUAAAAUCAGCAUAUUGAUCUACUAUUUUUCUAGGUAUUGAUGGAAUAUUGACUCAUAUACUUUCAUACAACUG